This 617-nucleotide ribosomal RNA is filed under the name uncultured delta proteobacterium. Its description in RNAcentral is "bacterial SSU rRNA". It matches the Rfam family "Bacterial small subunit ribosomal RNA", at positions 12 to 651 of the family's 1533-position model. Lineage: Bacteria; Deltaproteobacteria. The record is from RNAcentral.
UUUGAUCCUGGCUCAGAGCGAACGCUAGCGGCGGGUCUAACAGAUGCAAGUCGAGCGGGCAGCUUCGGCUGUUUAGCGGCGAACGGGUGAGUAACACGUAGGUAAUGUGUCCUCUGGUGGGGAAUAACCGUGUGAAACCAUGGCUAAUACCGCAUAUCGUGCUUCGGCAUGAAAGCCUUCGGGCGCCAGUUGAGCAGCCUGCGUCCCAUUAUUUAGUCCUAGUUGGUAGGGUAAUGGCCUACCAAGGGUACGAUGGGUAGCUGGUCUGAGAGGAUGAUCAUCCACACUGGAACUGAGACACGGUCCAGACUCCUACGGGAGGCAGCAGUGGGGAAUAUUGCGCAAUGGGCGAAAGCCUGACGCAGCCACGCCGCGUGAGUGAUGAAGGCCUUCGGGUUGUAAAGCUCUGUCGGGAGGGACGAAAGGAGCAAUCCUUGACGGUACCUCGCAAGAAAGCACCGGCUAACUCUGUGCCAGCAGCCGCGGUAAUACAGAGGGUGCAAGCGUUGCUCGGAUUUACUGGGCGUAAAGCGUACGCAGACGGUGAGAAAGGUCGGAUGUGAAAGCCCCGGGCUCAACCCGGGAACUGCAUCCGAAACCAUCUCGCUAGAGUAUGG